GGGCCAUUAGCUCAGGUGGUUAGAGCGCACCCCUGAUAAGGGUGAGGUCCCUGGUUCAAGUCCA
This 64-nucleotide transfer RNA is filed under the name Synechococcus sp. LBB3. RNAcentral describes it as "tRNA-Ile". It matches the Rfam family "tRNA", at positions 1 to 61 of the family's 71-position model. From Rfam's summary of the family: Transfer RNA (tRNA) molecules are approximately 80 nucleotides in length. Lineage: Bacteria; Bacillati; Cyanobacteriota; Cyanophyceae; Synechococcales; Synechococcaceae. The record is from RNAcentral. RNAcentral also lists the same sequence under 1 other name.